UGUCUAGUAACUCCUAUCCCUACCUUCCCGUGGUGCCGCCUGGGGUACGAGAAACCGGAAGGAAGAUCGGGUAGCCAACCCCGGUGGGACCUUGGUCGUAUGCUGCCCGGGAAGG
Molecule: ribozyme, 115 nt
Filed under: Aedes aegypti (yellow fever mosquito)
Lineage: Eukaryota; Metazoa; Arthropoda; Insecta; Diptera; Culicidae
Description: drz-agam-1 ribozyme
Rfam family: drz-agam-1 ribozyme
Source: Rfam by way of RNAcentral